This 72-nucleotide transfer RNA is filed under the name Dreissena polymorpha. It matches the Rfam family "tRNA". From Rfam's summary of the family: Transfer RNA (tRNA) molecules are approximately 80 nucleotides in length. Their secondary structure includes four short double-helical elements and three loops (D, anti-codon, and T loops). The record is from Rfam by way of RNAcentral. Lineage: Eukaryota; Metazoa; Mollusca; Bivalvia; Myida; Dreissenidae.
UCGUCGGUGGUUUAAAGGUUAUAAUGGUUGCCUUCCAAGCAGUCGAUCCUGAUUCGAUUCCCGGCCGACGCA